This 914-nucleotide ribosomal RNA is filed under the name uncultured marine archaeon. RNAcentral's name for it is "bacterial SSU rRNA". It matches the Rfam family "Archaeal small subunit ribosomal RNA", at positions 1 to 922 of the family's 1478-position model. The record is from RNAcentral.
UUCCGGUUGAUCCCGCCGGACCUGACUGCUAUCGGAUUGAUACUAAGCCAUGCGAGUCAUUGUAGCAAUACAAGGCAGACGGCUCAGUAACGCGUAGUCAACCUAACCUAUGGACGGGAAUAACCUCGGGAAACUGAGAAUAAUGCCCGAUAGAACACUAUACCUGGAAUGGUUUGUGUUCCAAAUGAUUUAUCGCCGUAGGAUGGGACUGCGGCCUAUCAGUUUGUUGGUGAGGUAAUGGCCCACCAAGACUAUUACAGGUACGGGCUCUGAGAGGAGUAGCCCGGAGAUGGGUACUGAGACACGGACCCAGGCCCUAUGGGGCGCAGCAGGCGAGAAAACUUUGCAAUGUGCGAAAGCACGACAAGGUUAAUCCGAGUGGUUUCUGCUAAAGGAACCUUUUGUUAGUCCUAGAAACACUAACGAAUAAGGGGUGGGCAAGUUCUGGUGUCAGCCGCCGCGGUAAAACCAGCACCUCAAGUGGUCAGGAUGAUUAUUGGGCCUAAAGCAUCCGUAGCCGGCUCUGUAAGUUUUCGGUUAAAUCUGUACGCUCAACGUACAGGCUGCCGGGAAUACUGCAGAGCUAGGGAGUGGGAGAGGUAGACGGUACUCGGUAGGAAGUGGUAAAAUGCUUUGAUCUAUCGAUGACCACCUGUGGCGAAGGCGGUCUACCAGAACACGUCCGACGGUGAGGGAUGAAAGCUGGGGGAGCAAACCGGAUUAGAUACCCGGGUAGUCCCAGCUGUAAACUAUGCAAACUCAAUGAUGCAUUGGCUUGAUGCUAAUGCAGUGUUGCAGGGAAGCCGUUAAGUUUGCCGCCUGGGAAGUACGUACGCAAGUAUGAAACUUAAAGGAAUUGGCGGGGGAGCACCACAAGGGGUGAAGCCUGCGGUUCAAUUGGAUUCAACGCCGGG